GUGGAAAAUCCCACACAGUGAAAUUAGGACCGUGAGCGGACGGUGAGCGGCCGGGGCGCUGGCUGCGCCGCCCCUGUCAAGCACCGCCCCUGUCAGCGUCCCUCUCAGCUCGCCCGGGGUAAUCCUUACAUAUUUAUUAUUAUUACAGACUUAUAAAAUAUUUCAGUCAUCCCAUCGCCCUGAAGAGAGGAGCCACAUAAAACGCCAGACGCCCCCGCAUGCAGACACACCUGCCGGCUCACAUCAAGCCCAGCCCACCAAAAUAGCCCGAGGAACUGCGGUAGCUGUGACUGCGGAUCUGCAGCUUGGGCGAGUGCUCUGUGGAGAUCCUGCAAACAUGGCCAACUAUGAGUGGAGCCCCAACAAUUUGCAAGGGAGGGGACAGGUGCUUUGGGGGACCGCAGGACAGGCAGCAGUGCAAUAAAAGACACAACAGUGCAUUAUAACAGAAUAAAGGGGACCACCCAAGGACACAGCGGUCUCUGCUCGGAUGUCCGCAUGCCGUGCCAACAUCUCGACAUCUGCGUGCCUGCUAAACCUCUCCAAGACUGAGCAUCUCGUCUUCCCUGCCAGCCCUACCGUUCAGCUCGGAUCAGCGACAUUGUCUCCAUCAAGGUCUGCCAGGAACCUGGGGGUAAUGAUAGAUGACCAGCUAUCCUUUG
Molecule: long non-coding RNA, 662 nt
Organism: Brienomyrus brachyistius
Lineage: Eukaryota; Metazoa; Chordata; Actinopteri; Osteoglossiformes; Mormyridae
Exons: 3
Source: RefSeq, a predicted model, not a curated record